Molecule: unclassified non-coding RNA, 1268 nt
Filed under: Hevea brasiliensis (rubber tree)
Lineage: Eukaryota; Viridiplantae; Streptophyta; Magnoliopsida; Malpighiales; Euphorbiaceae
Source: RNAcentral
UAAUAAUAAGUGGUAGUGGUUGUAGUGAUUGGUAGUCGAUUGGUGAUGUUAGUUAAGUGGUGGGGAUGGCGGCGAUAGCGAUAGUGGUGGUGAUUAGGUGAUGGUGGUGGCAAGAUGAGGUAGUAGUUGUGGUAGAGGUGGCAAGAUAAGGUAUUAGUUAUUAUAGAGGUGGCAAUAAAUAAGUGAUGAUUGCGGUGAUCAAGUGAUAAUAGUGGUGAUAGUGACAGUGGUAAAAUGGUGGUGGUGGUAGUAGUAAUAGUGGUGGUGGUAGUGGUGAUAAAGUGGGGUAGUGGUGGUAAUAGUAGUAGUGGUCAGGUAGUAUAAUGAUUGAAUUGACAAUAAAUAAAAAAAAUAUCAAAACAAGUAAUCAUGAUUAUAUCUAUUUUUAUAUGUAAUAAACAUUACAUUAAUUGAUUACAUUAUAUAAUUGGUAUUCACUACAUAAAUUUUUUUUUGUUUUAUCAAAUAACGUAAUCAAAUAUACAAUGUAAUUGCGAUUAUAUUACAACUUUGAUUACCGUCUACUAAACAUGGCCUUAUAGUUUUAGGGGUUGGCAUUUUUCUGUUGAAUAUUUAAAGACAGUUGACAUUUUCAAUUCAUUGACCAUUUGCAGACAAUGAUGGAAAGCAGUUCUGAGACUACAACAACUCCUCCAAAAGUACAGAAACUGGAUAGGUUACAGACACUUGAAAAAGAACACCAAGAUGCAAUAGAAAGAGCUGUCAGUUUGAAUAUACCACAUAAUGAGAGCAUCACAGAGGCAGAACCUCAAGAGGGCAAAGAGGCAGAGUCUUCCCAUGGUGAGCACGAAGGUGAACAUGCUUCAGAAACUAAAUCACAGUCCAGCUUCUCAAGGACAAAAUGGGAUGAACUGCUUAAUAAAGUGUUAGAGAAGGAUGAGUUGGAUGAGCUGGCUGCAAAGAAAGAUGCAAAUGCCCCCAAAUAACUAUUGCUUAUUGUCAGGGUGUAUACAUUGAAAGAUAGGUGUUUUGUUCCUUUAUUCAUUUUUGUACCCACCUUUCUGAAUGUCCAAGUUUGUAUAUCUUCUUGUAUAAAAGAAAUUGCAAAAAUUCUAGUAAAUGAUACAGAUACAAAAAGUGCAACAUCACUAAUUUUUAAAGCCUUUGAACAGUUGCUUCGUCACGUGCCCUUAUGUCUUCCCUGUGGAGGUUAAGGAUCCACUCUCCAUCGUCUCUCUGGUGUGUUUAGGAUUGUUAAAAACUCUGUAUAUUGUGGCUAGGAUUAUUGAAACUAUAGUGCUUUCAGC